This is a long non-coding RNA of Bos indicus x Bos taurus (hybrid cattle), 1104 nucleotides long. The record is from Ensembl. NCBI's taxonomy places the organism in Eukaryota, Metazoa, Chordata, Mammalia, Artiodactyla, Bovidae.
AUGGGGAAGGAAGGACCGAGUGAGCUUCCACGCCGGCCGGCGGAGCUCCAGAUCCGCGCCCGGGCGGGCGCGAGCGCGCGGAGCCCCGGCCGAGAGGCCGCUCAGUCUGCCCUGGGGGAGGGAGCCUCGCCGAGCCGUUCCCGGCUUCUAGCGUUCGCGCCCGGGAAGGAAGGAAGGAAGGAAGGAGCAGGCCGGCUGCGGGGGUGUGGGAGUGUGGGAGACGUGACGGGGAGCCUGACCGGCCUCAGCUCCGCUCUCGCCUGCCUUCCCCGCUCGGACCUAGGAGAGCCGGGGCCUCCCGGCAGAGGGCUCCGGACCCGCCCGGGCGUGUGUACAAACCGCCAAGGCCUCCCGCGAGCGAGCGAGCGAGCGAGCGAGCGAGCGAGCGAGCGAGCGAGGAGAGAGCUCUGUCCGAGGGGGAAGGGAAGCGCCCCGUGCUCGGGCCGCAUUCCCACGCUGUGUGUGUGCUUGGCCGCCCAGACUCAGCGAGCGCGGCACGGAGGGGAAUCGGGGUCCCAGGGCCCGCCCGCCCGCCCGCCUGCCCGCCUGCCCCUGGCUCGGGGAGAGGCGGCUCCACCGCCAGCCAGCCAGCCAGCCAGCCAGCCAGCCAGCCAGCCAGCCAGCGUGUUUUCCCUCCGUGUGUGUGUGCCGAGAAAGCGGCCGCCAGACUGGGCUUCUCCGGAGCUCUCCUCCAGAGCAGAGACGUGUGUGUGGAUGUGGUGUGGGGGGCCUUCCUUCCGAGCGAGCCUGGAUGGAUGGGGAAGGAAGGAAGGACCGAGUGAGCUUCCACGCCGGCCGGCGGAGCUCCAGAUCCGCGCCCGGGCGGGCGCGAGAGCGCGGAGCCCCGGCCGAGAGGCCGCCGCUCUGCCCUGGGGGAGCCUCGCCGAGCCGUUCCCGGCUUCUAGCGUUCGCGCCCGGGCGGGAGGGAGGGAAGGAAGGAAAGAAGGAAGGAAGGAAGGAAGGAAGGAAGGAAGGAAGGUAGGAAGGAGCAGGCUGGCUGCGGGAGUGUGGGAGUGUGGGAGACGUGACUGGGAGCCUGACGGGCCUCAGCUCCGCUCUGGCCUGCCUUCCCCUCGGACCCAGGAGCAUUCGAGAACGACAUGA